This 279-nucleotide ribosomal RNA is filed under the name uncultured bacterium. Its description in RNAcentral is "partial 16S ribosomal RNA". It matches the Rfam family "Bacterial small subunit ribosomal RNA", at positions 506 to 784 of the family's 1533-position model. The record is from RNAcentral.
UGCCAGCCGCCGCGGUAAUACGGAGGGUGCAAGCGUUAAUCGGAAUUACUGGGCGUAAAGAGUACGUAGGCGGCUUUACAAGUCGGGUGUGAAAGCCCUGAGCUUAACUCAGGAACUGCAUUCGAUACUGUAUCGCUAGAGUUUAUUAGAGGAUAGCGGAAUUCCAGGUGUAGCGGUGAAAUGCGUAGAUAUCUGGAGGAACACCAAUGGCGAAGGCAGCUAUCUGGGAUAUAACUGACGCUGAGAUACGAAAGCGUGGGUAGCAAACGGGAUUAGAUA